UACAGAGGUCCCAAGCGUUGUUCGGAUUCAUUGGGCGUAAAGGGUGCGUAGGCGGCGCGGUGAGUCGGGUGUGAAAUCUCGGAGCUUAACUCCGAAACUGCAUUCGAUACUGCCGUGCUUGAGGACUGGAGAGGAGACUGGAAUUUACGGUGUAGCGGUGAAAUGCGUAGAUAUCGUAAGGAAGACCAGUGGCGAAGGCGGGUCUCUGGACAGUUCCUGACGCUGAGGCACGAAGGCCAGGGGAGCAAACGGG
RNAcentral lists this ribosomal RNA (253 nucleotides) under uncultured bacterium. RNAcentral describes it as "partial 16S ribosomal RNA". It matches the Rfam family "Bacterial small subunit ribosomal RNA", at positions 524 to 776 of the family's 1533-position model. The record is from RNAcentral.